RNA transcript from Rosa chinensis, 2772 nucleotides. RefSeq lists it as uncharacterized. The record is from RefSeq and is a predicted model, not a curated record. Lineage: Eukaryota; Viridiplantae; Streptophyta; Magnoliopsida; Rosales; Rosaceae. The transcript has 2 exons.
UCUCUCUCUAUCUCCCUCCAUCCACAUAACCCCAUUCUCCCCUCUCUCUCUCUCUCUCUCUCUCCAUCCACAAAACCCCAUUUGUGCAAUCAAAGCAACAAAUGACGGCAACCACCCUAUUUCUCCUUCCUUCCCAAUUUGAGAGACAAACCCAGAUAAAAGAAAAAAGGGAGGAUGAUGACAUACGCAGCCUCAGCUUCAACUCCCACCCGGCCAUUGUCAAAAGCAAUGGUCUUAAUAGCACUAGCGCUUCUAGUAUCAUUGAUUGCAGCACAACAACAAGGAGGAAGGGCGUCGGUCUGGUUAAAGCCUCGUCACCUACAAGACCCACCUUGUCCAGCAAUUGGGAUUUUCAGUUCGUCGCUACUACUACUACUUCAGCUCCACGCGUCCCCAGAUUCGAAGAGCUCGAUACCACCAACAUGCUCCUCCGUCAGAGAAUCAUCUUCUUGGGUUCUCAGGUGGAUGAUAUGAGGCAGAUUUGAUAAUAAGCCAACUACUAUUUCUGGAUGCUGAAGACCCCAAAAAGGACAUUACAUUGUUUAUCAAUUUGCUUGGUGGCUCGGUUCUCGUCCUUCAAUCCACUCAAGUCCCUCUCCUCCUUCAGUCCAUUACCUAGUGCCCUUCAUCCCCGUCUUAUCUAGGAACUUAUCCACCAAAAACCCAUCUACCAAAUCUUCUCUCACCUUAAAAAUAUUGGCGGUAAUCUCAAUUGACCGGAGAGGGAGGUUGCCGUCAUUUGGCCUUCACCAUUCGUUUUGAUGAUGAAAAUUCAAGUACAAAGCUUAAAGUGUGGGUUUCCCAAGUGGGAAUCUGGAGGGAGGGGGAGGGAGGGAGGGGGAGAGAGAGUGUGUGUGUUUUAGUUGUCGCUGUGUAGGGGUGAUUUGGUAAAAGCAGCAAAAUGGGUGUGUAGAAUGUAAAAGGAGGUGUGCAAAUUUUAGCACCCAUAAAUAAAAAGCAGCUUUAAUUAAAAAUUAUAGGUCACUAGCAACAGAAUUUAAAAGCAGCCCAAAAGUUGAUUUUAGAAGCUGUUGUGGAUCAAAACACACUCUGAAGUUGUUUUAUGUACUGACAACACUUUUAAAAAUAUUAUUUACCAAACACGAAACUGUUUUAAUUCACAGUUAAUUAUUCUCACAACACAGUAGCAACAGUUUUUUUUAAAAGUCACAACAAUUCCAAACUAGCCCUUAGUUUCUUUAUAGUAUAAGAAAUAGAUUAUUUGUUUUUCCAAUGUAUGUUAUGUAGUUCUAUUGACUUUAGGGAUUGUGUUCUUUUAAGAUUGAUCUAUAUUUUCUGCUCUAACCCAAUCCCCUAAAACUUUUGGUCUAGAUUCCAGCAGUUAUGGCUAAUAGAUCACGGUACUAUUGGAGUGAUCAUAGUGAUCACAUAUAUGCUUUAUCAGAGAAGAUCAUAAUAAAGUGGCAGCUUAUGUCGUCGAGAAUGGGAGAGCUUUAGUGUUCGAUUCUUCUUCUUCAAUGAAGCCGGUAACUAUUGCGUCCCUAGUAAGUGGUGGGGUUUAUAUACAUUCUCAACAUGCCUUUACACGUGUGGCGAUUUCUCAAGUCAUACACGUGGACAAGUUAUAUCGGGUGACGGUGAGCACGUGUGGCCAUCCCUGCCUUUACACGUGUGGCGAUUUCUCAAGUCAUACACGUGGACAAGUUAUAUCGGGUGACGGUGAGCAUGUGUAGCCAUCCCUGAAACCAAACAGGUGGGUAACCAGCUCUGAUAUCAUGAUAUGAGGUUCACAUUCAAAACCAAUUGGCAAUGGAUGAAGUGACUCAAACCCUUAUAAACUCAUAAGUAAAGUUAUAUUUUUCCAAUGUGGGAAUUAUAUUUAUACACAUUUGCAACAAUGACUACUGCUUCUCUGAAUCUACUCGAAACUUUUCGGGCCUUUUACGAGAUUGCAUUUACUAUUAUGAUUCAGUAUCACCAUUUAUAGUGGUCGACUUGUCUGCGGGUAGGCCUGACAAUUCAGCCCAUGACCCGUUAACCGCCCAUUAACCGCCAGCUAAAAACUCAUUUAUUUCCGCCCAAUAACUUAACGUGUUAAUGAGCUGCCAACCCGUUAACAACCCGUUAGUUAACGGGCGGAAACGGUUUGCACGACGGAACCCAUGGAGCCCAAUUAGAAAGAAAAAAAAAAAAACACAGUCUAGCACUCUAACAGUCUAACCCUCACUUCUCUCGCUGACACUCUCCUCUUCUCCAUUUUAGCUGCUCGAACCCUCUAGGCCUCUACAGUCUACCCAUCUCUACGCCGCCGGCCGCCGCUGCCAAAGAGUUCGCCGACGGAACCCUCUACAGUCUACCCAUUUCUCUUCUUUCACUUCUCGCAACUCUGCAUUUUCAGCUUGUUCUGUUCUCGCCGACGGGCUCCAUGGUGAGUCAUGAUUGUUCUGUUUCAUUUAUGUUUUCUUAGCUUUCUUUCUAUCGAUCUCUGUAUUGUUUGUUUUCUGGGAUUUGCGAACUAGUGGGUGUUUGUAUUUUCUGGGAUUUGCGAAUUGGUGUUUGUAUUUGGAUCUGGGUUUUUUUAUUUUUCUGAUGUGCAAUAUAUAUGGAUUUGUAUAUAUAUGGAUUUUUCUGAGAAUAUGAAGGGGCAAAGGAGCUAGAUAAUCUGUGGAGAUGGUUUGAUUCUGCACUUCUUUAUGGGCUUCUGUUUCUAGGAAGCUCAUGGAAUUGUUAGAAUUGGAGUUUAGCUGUUGUUUAGCAAAUGUGAUGCAAAGCUAGUUUAUAUAUUAAGGUUUUGGUUUUGAGGUCAGUUGU